CCCCUAGUAACUGCGAGUGAAGCGGGAAAAGCUCAAAUUUAAAAUCUGGGGAAGUUGUCGCCCGAGUUGUAAUCUGGAGAAGCGUUUUCCGUGCCGGACCGUGUACAAGUCUCUUGGAACAGAGCGUCAUAGAGGGUGAGAAUCCCGUCCAUGACACGGACUCCCGGUGCUUUGUGAUACGCUCUCGAAGAGUCGAGUUGUUUGGGAAUGCAGCUCAAAAUGGGUGGUAAGCUCCAUCUAAAGCUAAAUAUUGGCGAGAGACCGAUAGCGAACAAGUACCGUGAGGGAAAGAUGAAAAGCACUUUGGAAAGAGAGUUAAACAGUACGUGAAAUUGUUGAAAGGGAAACGCUUGAAGUCAGUCGCAUCUUACUUGACUCAGCCUUGCUUUGGCUUGGUGUAUUUCAAGUAGGAUGGGUCAACAUCGAUUUUGACCGGCGGACAAGGGGUUAAGGAAUGUGGCACUCUUCGGAGUGUGUUAUAGCCUUUUCUCAUAUACGUCGGUUGGGAUUGAGGCCCGCAGCGCGCCCUUGUGGCCGGAGGUUCGCCUCACGUAACGCGCUUAGGAUGUUGGCAUAAUGGCUUUAAGCGACCCGUCUUGAAACACGGACCAAGGAGUCUAACAUGCUCGCGAGUGUUAGGGUGGAAAACCCUUGCGCGUAAUGAAAGUGAAAGUUGAGAACCUCCGCAAGGGGGUGCAUCGACGCCCGGCCCUGAAGUUUACUGACGGUGCUGCGGUAGAGCGCGUAUGUUGGGACCCGAAAGAUGGUGAACUAUGCCUGAAUAGGGCGAAGCCAGAGGAAACUCUGGUGGAGGCUCGUAGCGAUUCUGACGUGCAAAUCGAUCGUCAAAUUUGGG
RNAcentral lists this ribosomal RNA (856 nucleotides) under Fuscoporia dhofarensis. RNAcentral describes it as "Fuscoporia sp. SH-2022a partial large subunit ribosomal RNA". It matches the Rfam family "Eukaryotic large subunit ribosomal RNA", at positions 77 to 915 of the family's 3401-position model. The record is from RNAcentral. Lineage: Eukaryota; Fungi; Basidiomycota; Agaricomycetes; Hymenochaetales; Hymenochaetaceae.